Homo sapiens (human) is the source of this 1134-nucleotide long non-coding RNA. Ensembl annotates it as long intergenic non-protein coding RNA 2997. NCBI's taxonomy places the organism in Eukaryota, Metazoa, Chordata, Mammalia, Primates, Hominidae. The record is from Ensembl.
GGGAACACACGAGAAGUAUAAACCAAGUGCAAUCGAUAUCAAAAGGAAGAGAUUUCUUCUGUUUGGGGACAUGAGGAGUAAGGAACAUCACUAUCAUCCACGUAAGUGAGUGUGCCUGCAGCAUGCAUUCAUUACUGCAUCUGAUGGAAGCACAAAGGGAGAGACAAAGAUGCAGAGAACAAUGCUCAGAAUGGCUGUAUUGCACACAAUCCUCUUCUGAGGCCCCAUUCCUGAAAGAAAGCAGGCCAUGCUGGUCUCAGUAUUUGCAUGGAAGGAUAUCUGCCAGUGAAUGAGUCUGUUGAAAUCACCACACCAAAUUCAACAUUAAGGGCCAACCCUGACCACAGCUGAGCCGUGUGAAGAGGCUGACAGCGGCGUGGCCACCACCCAGGAUGGAGAGAAAGGCACUGUGAGGUGUUAAUGGAAAAAUCCAACUUCCUUUUCUUCCAAAGAUGAUGACUGAAACCAAAGUGGAGCUUUCCCUGCCUUCAGACUCAGACUGGAACUGCACCGUUGGCUCUCCUGGGUGGGUCUCCAGCUUGCUGACCACAGACCUUGAGACUUCUCAGCCUUUAGAAUCAUGGAAGCCAAUUCCUUAUAAUAAUAUAUAUCCUUUUCCUAGUCUGUGGACUUUUCCCAGCUCCAGACAGACAACCUUCUAUAAACUCCAGGAUGCUCCAUCAAUGCCGUCUGGACUCUACAGAUUUUGACCCUGAAGUAAAGUAGGAAAGGCUAUGAGGACAUGUUAAAUGUUGUACUACCGCCUGAAGCCUUUUCUUCUUUAAAUUUUUCAACAAGAGUUGAAUGCACACGUGGAGCUUAAUUGGACAACAACUUUUCUCCUCUUCUGUGGGAUCCCGUCAGUGCUUUAAGCAAUGAGAAGGCAGCUCAUUUCCAAGUUUGUGUGGUAAAUUUGGGGCAAGUGGGAGAAAAGAAAGAAAGGCUGAGUCUUAUAGGGUGUGAUUUGGUUCUAGACAUGCUUAUGUUACUUUUUAUAAGAUUAUCCAUUUGACUAGAUUUCUUUCCUGCUGACAAAAGAGGCAAUUUCUACAUAUAAAAUAAAUCUGAUUAAAACUCUUUCUCUGUUCCUGUCAAGGUAAUAGAUGCAGACCCCAGGAACAGAAUAUAUUUGGA